Molecule: transfer RNA, 73 nt
Filed under: Ixodes scapularis (black-legged tick)
Lineage: Eukaryota; Metazoa; Arthropoda; Arachnida; Ixodida; Ixodidae
Rfam family: tRNA
About the family: Transfer RNA (tRNA) molecules are approximately 80 nucleotides in length. Their secondary structure includes four short double-helical elements and three loops (D, anti-codon, and T loops). Further hydrogen bonds mediate the characteristic L-shaped molecular structure. tRNAs have two regions of fundamental functional importance: the anti-codon, which is responsible for specific mRNA codon recognition, and the 3' end, to which the tRNAs corresponding amino acid is attached (by aminoacyl-tRNA synthetases). tRNAs cope with the degeneracy of the genetic code in two manners: having more than one tRNA (with a specific anti-codon) for a particular amino acid; and 'wobble' base-pairing, i.e. permitting non-standard base-pairing at the 3rd anti-codon position.
Source: Rfam by way of RNAcentral
CCCUGGUUAGCUCAGUUGUAAGAGCGCUCCACUGGAAAUGGAGAGGUCCCGGGUUCGAUACCCGGACCAGGCG